ACAAUGAAGAGUUUGAUCCUGGCUCAGGAUGAACGCUAGCUACAGGCUUAACACAUGCAAGUCGAGGGGCAUCAGGAAGAAAGCUUGCUUUCUUUGCUGGCGACCGGCGCACGGGUGAGUAACACGUAUCCAACCUGCCCUUUACUCGGGGAUAGCCUUUCGAAAGAAAGAUUAAUACCCGAUAGUAUAAUCAUUCCGCAUGGUUUGAUUAUUAAAGGAUUCCGGUAAAGGAUGGGGAUGCGUUCCAUUAGGUUGUUGGUGAGGUAACGGCCCACCAAGCCUUCGAUGGAUAGGGGUUCUGAGAGGAAGGUCCCCCACAUUGGAACUGAGACACGGUCCAAACUCCUACGGGAGGCAGCAGUGAGGAAUAUUGGUCAAUGGGCGCGAGCCUGAACCAGCCAAGUAGCGUGAAGGAUGACUGCCCUAUGGGUUGUAAACUUCUUUUAUAUUAGAAUAAAGUGCAGUAUGUAUACUGUUUUGUAUGUAUAAUAUGAAUAAGGAUCGGCUAACUCCGUGCCAGCAGCCGCGGUAAUACGGAGGAUCCGAGCGUUAUCCGGAUUUAUUGGGUUUAAAGGGAGCGUAGGUGGACUGGUAAGUCAGUUGUGAAAGUUUGCGGCUCAACCGUAAAAUUGCAGUUGAUACUGUCAGUCUUGAGUACAGUAGAGGUGGGCGGAAUUCGUGGUGUAGCGGUGAAAUGCUUAGAUAUCACGAAGAACUCCGAUUGCGAAGGCAGCUCACUGGACUGCAACUGACACUGAUGCUCGAAAGUGUGGGUAUCAAACAGGAUUAGAUACCCUGGUAGUCCACACAGUAAACGAUGAAUACUCGCUGUUUGCGAUAUACAGUAAGCGGCCAAGCGAAAGCAUUAAGUAUUCCACCUGGGGAGUACGCCGGCAACGGUGAAACUCAAAGGAAUUGACGGGGGGGCCCGCACAAGCGGAGGAACAUGUGGUUUAAUUCGAUGAUACGCGAGGAACCUUACCCGGGCUUAAAUUGCAGUGGAAUGAUGUGGAAACAUGUCAGUGAGCAAUCACCGCUGUGAAGGUGCUGCAUGGUUGUCGUCAGCUCGUGCCGUGAGGUGUCGGCUUAAGUGCCAUAACGAGCGCAACCCUUAUCUUCAGUUACUAACAGGUCAUGCUGAGGACUCUGGAGAGACUGCCGUCGUAAGAUGUGAGGAAGGUGGGGAUGACGUCAAAUCAGCACGGCCCUUACGUCCGGGGCUACACACGUGUUACAAUGGGGGUACAGAAGGCAGCUACCUGGUGACAGGAUGCUAAUCCCAAAAGCCUCUCUCAGUUCGGAUCGAAGUCUGCAACCCGACUUCGUGAAGCUGGAUUCGCUAGUAAUCGCGCAUCAGCCACGGCGCGGUGAAUACGUUCCCGGGCCUUGUACACACCGCCCGUCAAGCCAUGGGAGCCGGGGUACCUGAAGUACGUAACCGCAAGGAGCGUCCUAGGGUAAAACUGGUGACUGGGGCUAAGUCGUAACAAGGUAGCCGUACCGGAAGGUGCGGCUGGAACACCUCCUUU
RNAcentral lists this ribosomal RNA (1529 nucleotides) under Bacteroides fragilis. Its description in RNAcentral is "bacterial SSU rRNA". It matches the Rfam family "Bacterial small subunit ribosomal RNA". Lineage: Bacteria; Pseudomonadati; Bacteroidota; Bacteroidia; Bacteroidales; Bacteroidaceae. The record is from RNAcentral.